AGAGUUUGAUCCUGGCUCAGGAUGAACGCUGGCGGUAUGCCUAACACAUGCAAGUCGUACGAGAGUUUUUAACUCUAGUGGCGGACGGGUGAGUAACACGUGAGAAUUUACCUUUAGGAGGGGGAUAACAAUUGGAAACGAAUGUUAAUACCCCAUAUGCUUUUGAGUGAAAUGGAUUUAUAAUUAUCCGCCUAAAGAAAAGCUCGCGGCUGAUUAGCUUGUUGGUAAGGUAAGAGCUUACCAAGGCGACGAUCAGUAUCUGGUUUGAGAGGACGAUCAGACACACUGGAACUGAGACACGGUCCAGACUCCUACGGGAGGCAGCAGUGGGGAAUUUUCCGCAAUGGGCGAAAGCCUGACGGAGCAAUACCGCGUGAGGGAAGACUGCCUAUGGGUUGUAAACCUCUUUUUUCAGGGAGGAAUAAAAUGACGUGUACCUGAAGAAUAAGCAUCGGCUAACUCCGUGCCAGCAGCCGCGGUAAG
This 483-nucleotide ribosomal RNA is filed under the name uncultured bacterium. RNAcentral describes it as "bacterial SSU rRNA". It matches the Rfam family "Bacterial small subunit ribosomal RNA", at positions 8 to 524 of the family's 1533-position model. The record is from RNAcentral.